AGCCCCCAGCCAAUGGGGCGGCGGGCCGGAGCGCCGGACGGCGGGGAAGCGCGGCGCACGCGGCUGCGCCGGCGGGAGUUUUGGGUCUGCGCGCGGGACCCGGGAGGGCGCGGGACGCCGGGCUGGCGGGGGAGCGCGGCCCCCUGGCCUCGCGGGGCAGCCGGGGGGAUGCCCCGCCCGCGCAGCACGGCAGGUCGGAGAAGUCCCCUGAAGAGUGGAGGGCCUGUGCGGGUCUCGUCCUUAACCACCCGUUGCGCGUCCGGCCCGAAGCUGACCUUCGCUCCCGAAUCCGGAAGGCUCCGGGCGCCUCCACCUUGACGGAGAGAAAGAGCUCGGGGAACGGCGAGAAGGAACGAAGAGAGAGGAGAGGACGCUGAGGCCCAGAGAAGCGAUACCUCCCUGCCCCCACCUGGUCGCAGCAAGAGGAGCCCCAAAAAGCAAGCCCAGUGCUGGACCGAGGCUCAGAGACCACCGAGGACACAGCAAGAAGACAGCUGUCCACAAGCCAGGAGGACGGUCUUCCACCGGCAAGCAAAUUGCUGGCACCCUGAUCUUGGACUUCCCAGGCUCCGGACCUGUGAGAUGUCCGUGUUUGUUGCUUGGGCCACCCGGUCUGCGGUGUUUUGUUAACAGCAGUGGGAACAGCCUUCCUGUUCCUGCUCAACUAACCACAGUCGCUGAGAAUUUCACGCCCAAGUUUGGUGCAUUUCUGGGCUACAGUCAUUCACGGGGUGUGCCGCCCAUGCCAGGCUCUGUUUGGGGUGCUGAGCUUCCAGAAGUUAAAAAGUGCCCACCCAGUACCCGCCCAGGAGGAGUCACCUCCUGUUGAGACAGCAGGCCGGUGGAUAAGGAGAGUGCCAGCUGGUGCCCUGGAUAAGACUCCUUGGUUCCGUGAGGGCCCUGCCCUGGGCGCUGUCAGACAAGACACGUCCCAGGAAGAGUCCUCUCUUGUCAUGGCUUGAGCCUCCCGUGACCUGAGACAUCAGCCCACCAUUGUGGCUCCAUCCCAUGGCACUAGCCUAAUGGCUCGACUUGAGCCAGCCACAGAUGAGAUCUGGCCUAACUUUUCUGCCCAGUAAGGACCAAUUAUCUAUUCAGCCACCUGAGAAAUAUUUACUGCACCUGGGCUCUAUUCCAAGCCUGGGACUAAACAAAACUCCUGUGGGUUCUGUCCCCGCCCCAGACCUUACAGAGGGGAGGCAGAUGUUAAAUCAGUAAUGCCAGUGGUAUAAGAUCCUGCUGUGCCCACAGCAGGGAGAGUUACCCAGGACGGGAAAGCCAGGAAAGGCUUCUCUGGAAAGUGCUAGUUGACCUGAGAUCUUCUGAAAGAUCAGUAAUUAAGCAGAUAAAGGAAAGGGCUCUCCUGAGAGAGGUUAGAGUAAAUGGAAAGGUCCUGAGGCAGGAGAGUGCUGGGGCUAGGACUGGAGGAGAGGGAGUGUGAGGUACUGAGGUACAGUGGCCAGAGCCAGAGUGGGCCUUAAAGGUGCUGACAGCCAAGGAAGGGAAGUUCUAAGAGCAGGGAUGAAGUGGAGAGUCCCCUACCUACCUGCCCCUUACCCUCCGACCCCUGGUCCCUUUCCGCCGUGACUGGGGCCUCUUCCAUCUCACCAGGAAGAGCAGCCUCUUCUCAUGACUUGUGCCCCCCCAACCAGUAUCCGUGCCCAUCCUUGUUUUCUGAGUAGCAGCCAGAGUGAGCUUUCAAAAGCAUAAAUCCAACCAUUGCUAAAGAAAAAAAUGCUUACGACACUCGUUAAGACAAUAAGACUUUAUUCAGGACUGUCUUGAAGGUGCAGGGGCCACUGCUAUGGGGCUGUGCUCUGUGGGAGGGAGAGGGAGCUCAGCUCCAAAUAUGGCAAGGAAAAGUGGAGAUUUACGGCCAAAGAGCACGGUCAGCGAGUGGGAAAUUGCUAGAAGGAAGUAUCAGAGGGAAGGGGGGAUUCUGGCUGAGCUGACCUAGCAGGAUUCUUGUGGAAGACAGGCCAAGGCAAUCAAGCAUCCCCUGGGAGGUGGCAGGGAAUGAAGAAUUUGGACAGAUCCCGAGGGUAGGGAAUUCUGGCUAAACCAGCUUGACAGGAUUCUUGCCAAAACUGGACUCUACAAGGACAGGGUCAGAAGCUCAAGUUCAGGCCUAGUAGAGCCGAGGGCUCAGGGCGACUGAAGUAAAGUCUGGCCAGGGAGACUUUACUUUUUUUUUUGUCACCAUGUCCCUCCCCUUCUCAAAAUCCCCCAUGACUCCCUAUUCCUCUUUAAAUGAAAGCCAGACUCACCUGCUGCAGCAUUUCAGACGGACUUGACAUAAGAAAAUUCCAGUAAGGAGCCCAGGCAAGCUGGAGGGGUAGAUCCAUGAGGUGGAAGAAGACAGGGGGCUGUCCCUGGGGUUGAUACUGCAGGUCUGGUGUCCUCAAGGGCUGGGUGUCUCUUCAGCAGGUCCCUUCUCUGGGCACCUCCAUUUCUCAUCUGUAAAAUGGGGACCACUGCACCUCUCGAUGAAAGUCGUGUUGCAGAAGGGAGAGAACCCAUGGAUGCUUAGGACACAGCUGGAUACACUACAGAGCUCACCAGAAGAGCGUUUGGAGCAGGAACAGCAAGUGCAAGUGCCCAGGGGCAGAAUGGAAUAGAACAGAACAGAAGCAUGCAGAAGGGAUCAGACAACAAGGUAAAACUGUCUCAUGAAAUCUUCCUAACCCUCUUGGCAGCAAGGAUUAUUAUCAGACCCAUUGUGCGGAGAGGUGAAGAUGCCUUUCCCGGGGUCACACACAGCCGU
Long non-coding RNA from Mustela lutreola (European mink), 2764 nucleotides. RefSeq lists it as uncharacterized. Lineage: Eukaryota; Metazoa; Chordata; Mammalia; Carnivora; Mustelidae. The record is from RefSeq and is a predicted model, not a curated record. The transcript has 4 exons.